This 119-nucleotide ribosomal RNA is filed under the name Pogona vitticeps (central bearded dragon). The record is from RNAcentral. Lineage: Eukaryota; Metazoa; Chordata; Lepidosauria; Squamata; Agamidae.
CUUGGCUACCACACCAUCCUGAACAUGUCUAGUUGUGUCUGAUUUCAGAAGCUGAGCAGGGCCAGGCUUGAUUAAUACUUUGAUGGGAAAUCAUCAGAGAAUUCCAGGAAUCUCUAGGC